RNAcentral lists this long non-coding RNA (2680 nucleotides) under Pelobates cultripes (western spadefoot toad). Lineage: Eukaryota; Metazoa; Chordata; Amphibia; Anura; Pelobatidae. The record is from RNAcentral.
CGACCCGCGCGGGGGGGCCCACGGAUCAAUUUUCGCACCGGGGCCCCAUGGAUCAUGUGUAUGCCACUGGCUGAGAUUAUCAAAUUUGAUGAUCUCAGGCAAGAAGGCUUUAGUGGGGGCUGGGUCAGUCGCGAGGAGACACAAACGGCGCUAAAAAAAAGGUGAGUAAAUCAACCGUUUUAAUGGAGGUUUAGGAGAGCUGUAAAUGUAAUCUUAAAUAAAAAUACACUUUUCUUAUAAGUCAGCAACCAGUUCACAAUGCCACCACAUGAGUUACAUCCUCGGAGACCACCUCUGUCUCUAUCGAGGUCAAUUUCCCGAAGUUGUAAAAACGCUCUUUAUGAGACUAUUUUGAUGUCUUUUGGUUUAACUUUUUUUGAAGAAUAGUGUUUUAGAGAAGACUAUGCUUUAGUGUUCACCGAUCUAUCUAUUAUUAUCCGUAAUUAGCCAUGACAGAUUAAACUACAAAAAUAUAUUUGCCCAGAGAUGAUUUGGCAGCAAGUUACUGCUAAAUACUGGCAUGUAAUGUUCACUUAGAACUCCGGGCAACUUUUCACUCUUUGUUUGGAGACAGAUUUUUAAGUAUUAUCUUGAAAGUUAGAUUUGGAUGAAAUUGUAUGAUUUCAAAGCUGGCAAACCUAUCGAAUGUCUUUUUGUUUUAGGAUUAUUUAAUAUAGUGAGAAUUCAAAGUGUAUUUCAAAUAAAAUAGAUAAAUUGGAAAUAUUCUCCAAGUCAGCUAAGCUUCCAACUCUAUUUAAAGCAACACUAUACGGUCAGGAACACAAACAUGUAUUUCUGACUCUGUAGUGUUAAAACCACCAUUUAGGAGGCUUGCCUUGCCCUCCCCUCCCUCCCCCUGCCCACUUAGAAAGGGUUCAAACUUACCUUAUUUCCAGCUUUCCACAGAUCUGCCGUUGUUGUCCACGCCCCCUAUCUGCCACUGUUACUGACAUAAACAGUAUUAAUAUCAGCCAAUCCAGUGCUUUCCCACAAUAAGAUGCAUUGAUCCAAUGCAGAGCGUGGAGAUGCUGAAUGUGCAGCACUGCCCCAGGAAGCACCUCCAGUGCUCACUCCUAGGUAUCCCUAGGCUUUAAUAUAAAUACUGCCUUUUCUCUGAAAAGACAAUGUUUACAACAAAAAGCCUGCAGGGUCUGACUACACUCACCAGAACUACUACAUUAAGCUGUAGUUGUUCUGGUGAUUAUAGUGUCCCUCUACGUCUAAAAUGUGACUUUUUCUUUUUCACAUUGAAUUUACAACAAUUCUCACUUGAGUGAAUAUACAAGAAUGUUCGCAUCUGUUUUAUUCCAUGCCAAGUCCUGCAUUUGUGACCAUGUAAUUUAGAAGUGCUUUUUAAACAUUCCUCUUUAAGUUGUCUAUUUUAUAGUAAGAGUAACCUACUGCUUUUUCUUUUGGAUUUUUUUUUUUUUCAGGAAGAAAACUACAACCAGUGCUUUCUACAUGAUGAUGAUUCUACUGACACAGAUGACUAUGAGGAUAGGCGGAGGGUUUUCGAUAUGCCCAACCCACCUGUCCACUGUCCACGUUUUACAUGAGCAAUUCCCUCUUUAAUGUGGGUGACAUUGAAUACAAAAAGCAUACUUUGCAGCAUUUUGUGCAGUAUUCUUGUGCUUUUUUUUUUUCCGUUUCUUUUUUAACUUUCCUUUCUCUGGUGGGUUUGCUGUUCAGAAUUGGAUCGUCUUGUGACAUCAUCAAUGUUCUGCGCUUCUGAAAAAAAACGCUGUCAUUGCCCAGGAUAACAGCUGGCCGCACUGCUUUUUAAUCCAUUUGUGUAGACGUGGUAGUCUGAUGAUUAUGUGAAAUUAUCUCCUUUUAAUUCAAUGAGAUACAGUUUUCUGCGUGGGGGGCGUUUUCUCAUAUCAUUGUUGAUAUUUACAGGGAUCGUCUAAUGGAUUCAAAUGAACGCAGACUUUUAACGUCUGUCUGCAGUGCACCAUUAUAGUGAAAACUAAUAUUGCAUUUAUAGGUUUAUACUUCUAAUCGUGAGAUAAGCAGGUCUUCUGUAAUACAGCAAUGUCCCAAAUGUGCAUUUGAUGCCUUUCAGCAAUUAUAUAGGCAUGGCUAAAAACAUCAUUCUAGGCUGAAAAUGUAAAAAUAAAAAACAAAAAACAAACAGACUUGUACUUUGUGUGUAACAUUGGAUGAAUAUUAACAUUUACUAUUCAGUCCUCUUUUUCCCAGAAUAUGAAACAUGUAAAGACAUUUGUCUGCUCAAUUCAAAAUAGACCCUUUUUGCAUAGCUUUUAAAGAUGUCUGAACUUGGAAUAUAAUAAAGUUCACAUAACAACAUGUCAGUUCUGAUGGCUGGGUGACUGCGUGACCGCUCACACAGAAAUGUAGUAUGCAGUCUUACACUGCCAUAAGAAAGUAAGUAAUUCUUGGAAAAAAGUCUUUCAAAACGUAGGCCUCAAUUUACUAUUUUGGAUAAGCUUUUCAAAUGAUUUGACAAAUUUGGAUAAGCUUUUUAAAUGAAUUUUUUUUUUUUCUCAAAUAAUAAACUAAACAAAAAUAUAUAUAUUAAAAUACCAAAAUAUUGCCUUCUAAUUUUGCCCUCUCUUGUCUGAAAAUGCUAUCUUUUGGGCACAUACACAGGUUGUCUCACUUCUCCCUUUAAAGUUGUAACCACCCCACUGUACAUUGGUGUCUUAACCCCUUAAGA